This 464-nucleotide long non-coding RNA is filed under the name Anas platyrhynchos platyrhynchos (common mallard). Its description in RNAcentral is "lncRNA (ENSAPLG00000021445.1)". Lineage: Eukaryota; Metazoa; Chordata; Aves; Anseriformes; Anatidae. The record is from RNAcentral.
AGAGUAUGUAGAUAUGUUGACUUCAGAAUGAAAUUACUAUGGAAACAACAAACAAAGAGGAUAUCUUAGGGAGUGCCAAGCUGAAAUUCAUGCCUGGAUUCAUUUCAAGUCUUUUCCUUGCUGAGAGCUACAGCUGUAGGUUUUCAGGCUGAACUCUAUAGGAAUCUUCUUCCAGUGAUAACUGCAUGGAGCAUGCGUGGUCCUUGCUGUCUCUAAAAUGGUGAAGAAGGAGAGAAAGGCUGAAAUUAUUUUGUGACUAUGUCUCUUGUGUCCUUUGCAAGUUAUCUUUCCCACCUGAUGUUUUGCACAGAAAGAACUACAAGGAAGGAGGCAGAGCUGGCUCCAAGUCACCUUCUGUGGGUAGUCCUGAGGGUGUCUCUUCAACCAAAGGGUGGUUCUCAACACUGGAAAUAAAAUUCAUCUAUAAAAAACAUAUUCUGUAUCUCUGAUAUAUGUUAUAUUUG